AGAGCACAUGGUGGAUGCCUUGGCAAUGAUAGGCGACGAAGGACGUGAUAGCCUGCGAUAAGCUUCGGGGAGCUGGCAAAUUAGCUUUGAUCCGGAGAUUUCCGAAUGGGGAAACCCACCUGCAAAGGUAUCGCAUACUGAAUACAUAGGUAUGCGAGGCGAACCGGGUGAACUGAAACAUCUCAGUAGCUCGAGGAAAAGACAUCAACCGAGAUUCCGAAAGUAGUGGCGAGCGAAAUCGGAGAAGCCUGCAAGUGAUAGCACAAGACAUAACGGAACAGCCUGGAAAUGCUGGCCAUAGCGGGUGAUAGCCCCGUACGUGAAAUGACCUGUGUGGUACUGAGCUUGCGACAAGUAGGGCGGGACACGAGAAAUCCUGUCUGAAUAUGGGGGGACCAUCCUCCAAGGCUAAAUACUCAUCAUUGACCGAUAGUGAACUAGUACCGUGAGGGAAAGGCGAAAAGAACCCCGGGAGGGGAGUGAAAUAGAUCCUGAAACCGUGUGCUUACAAAAAGUAGGAGCCUCGAAAGGGGUGACUGCGUACCUUUUGUAUAAUGGGUCAGCGACUUACAUUCAGUGGCAAGGUUAACCGAAUAGGGAAGCCGUAGAGAAAUCGAGUCCGAAUAGGGCGUCAAGUCGCUGGGUGUAGACCCGAAACCAAGUGAUCUAUCCAUGGCCAGGAUGAAGGUGCCGUAACAGGUACUGGAGGUCCGAACCGACUAGUGUUGCAAAACUAGCGGAUGAGCUGUGGAUAGGGGUGAAAGGCUAAACAAACUUGGAAAUAGCUGGUUCUCUCCGAAAACUAUUUAGGUAGUGCCUCAGGUAUUACCGACGGGGGUAGAGCACUGUUUUGGCUAGGGGGUCAUGGCGACUUACCAAACCAAUGCAAACUCCGAAUACCGUCGAGUACAGCCUGGGAGACAGAGCACCGGGUGCUAACGUCCGGACUCAAGAGGGAAACAACCCAGACCGCCAGCUAAGGUCCCUAAAAUUGGCUAAGUGGGAAACGAAGUGGGAAGGCUAAAACAGUCAGGAUGUUGGCUUAGAAGCAGCCAUCAUUUAAAGAAAGCGUAAUAGCUCACUGAUCGAGUCGUCCUGCGCGGAAGAUGUAACGGGGCUAAGCCAGUUACCGAAGCUGCGGAUUUGCAAUUUAUUGCAAGUGGUAGGAGAGCGUUCUGUAAGCCUGUGAAGGUGGUGGUGUAAACCCUGCUGGAGGUAUCAGAAGUGCGAAUGCUGACAUGAGUAGCGUUAAAGGGGGUGAAAAGCCCCCUCGCCGUAAGCGCAAGGUUUUCUACGCAACGUUCAUCGGCGUAGAGUGAGUCGGCCCCUAAGGCGAGGCAGAGAUGCGUAGCUGAUGGGAAACAGGUCAAUAUUCCUGUACCGAUGUGUAGUGCGAUGUGGGGACGGAGAAGGUUAGCUCAGCCAACUGUUGGAUAUGUUGGUUCAAGCCUGUAGUCGUGCCUGGUAGGUAAAUCCGCCGGGCUUAGAUGAGGGGUGAUAACGAGUCUGCUUGCAGACGAAGUGAGUGAUACCCUGCUUCCAGGAAAAGCCACUAAGCUUCAGCUACACACGACCGUACCGCAAACCGACACUGGUGCGCGAGAUGAGUAUUCUAAGGCGCUUGAGAGAACUCAGGAGAAGGAACUCGGCAAAUUGACACCGUAACUUCGGAAGAAGGUGUGCCUUUAGUAGGUGAACCAUUUACUUGGGGAGCCCAAUGAGGUUGCAAAAAAUCGGUGGCUGCGACUGUUUAUUAAAAACACAGCACUCUGCAAACACGAAAGUGGACGUAUAGGGUGUGACGCCUGCCCGGUGCUGGAAGAUUAAAUGAUGGGGUGCAAGCUCUUGAUUGAAGUCCCAGUAAACGGCGGCCGUAACUAUAACGGUCCUAAGGUAGCGAAAUUCCUUGUCGGGUAAGUUCCGACCUGCACGAAUGGCGUAACGAUGGCCACACUGUCU
This 1959-nucleotide ribosomal RNA is filed under the name metagenome. Its description in RNAcentral is "bacterial LSU rRNA". It matches the Rfam family "Bacterial large subunit ribosomal RNA", at positions 14 to 2021 of the family's 2925-position model. The record is from RNAcentral.